Long non-coding RNA from Ictidomys tridecemlineatus (thirteen-lined ground squirrel), 8083 nucleotides. RefSeq lists it as uncharacterized. Lineage: Eukaryota; Metazoa; Chordata; Mammalia; Rodentia; Sciuridae. The record is from RefSeq and is a predicted model, not a curated record.
AGGGGCGUGGCGCGGCGAUGUUCCCGCGCCUGCGGCUCUCAGGCCCCCCUUCCCCUACGACCCGGGCGCCUAGACGGUCCCUGCGGAAGGAGCCGAGGGGAAGCCUUCCCGCUCGCGGGAUCCGGGGCCCUGGAGCCCAUGGGCCGCGAUGAGCCCGCCCGUCCCCUUCCCUCACAGGUCCCCGUUCUGAGGGUCAGCACGGCCUUCUAGAAGGUCCGGGACGGAUUCGUAGCGCUCCCAGGGAGACUGGGAGACGGGGAAGGAGAACUGGCGACCACACGGGGCUGGCGGUGUAGCGCGGCCGCCCCACCUCGGGCCACGCCCCACUCGGGCCCGAGCUCUCUGGCGCCGCCUGUGGUGAGCUUCACGGCCCCGGGGCCCCGACGUGUGGCGGCCCCUCUGCAUCCCAGCCCGCUGCGUUCGCGGAACGCUCCUGAGUGUGUCUCUGGGCGGGUUCGCUGCGAAGCACGGACGCCCCCUCCUCCUGCACACAAGGUGCUGUGCACAGUAGGGCCGAGCGGGCAGCCUGGUCGCGGGAGGACGUGGCGCCUGUCAGAGGCGUCUGUCCACGCUUCUGGAGAUGGGGACGCAGGAAGGUGACAGUCUCCCAGUGUCACUCGACAGGGUGGUCUGCCACGGGGGAUUCCUGUUGUGCGCCAGGACGACCAGUGGUUGGGCACCGGCUGGGGCCCUCUCACUUCCUGGGGAGGCCUGAAGGUGAAACUGGAGUUUCCUGACAACUGAGAAUGCUCGCUUAACCAGAGGCUUGUGGUAAGAGGCAGCCCAGCACAGCGCAGCCCGGCGCAGGCGGGAGCAAGGAGCAGGAUGGCAGCAGGGUUAGCAUCUGAGCAGCAUAACACAGCAGGCUUGGCAGAGCAAUGGCAGCACCCAGGGACAGGGGACAGGAGGUCCAAGCCACAGGUAUCACUGCUGGGUUGCAAGAGCAGAGCGGCUGAGCAGCCUCUAGGGCCCCAUAGUGCCCGAGGAAAGGGGAGGGACAGUGACGUUAUGAUCUGGAGCUCAGCUGUGGAGGCUCAGGAGGCUGUGGGCUGUGUGGCCUGGCAGCAAGAGCACCCCUGCAGCCCGGCCUCCCGCCAGGAAAGCAGCUGGGAGCACCAAACCUGCUUGAGUUCAAGGGGCCCCCUGGCCAGCCUGCCACCAUAUCCCCCUUCAGCCAAGGGCUCCCACUACACUAGGCUCUGUGCUGGCCUUCCACAGCUCUCCUGACUCUAGACCUGCCGUGCAUGCUGCCUUGUGAGGCCUCACUCAUGCCUGCCCUACAACAUCUACCUAGUGAGUUGGGACCCAUCCUAAUCACUUCCCCUGACUUCCCAUUUCCCCACCCAGCCCCAGGCCACCAGCAGGUCGUAGUCACACCAUCCUCAAAGUACACUUCCUAACUGGGUUUCCACCUAAAGCCCCACAGCCACCCAUCUGGCCCAAGUCAACCCUCUGGCUUGUCUGAAAGCGACUUAAACCCUCUAGUGGGGCUCCCUGCCUCCAUUCCACACACACAGUGGCCUGGGAAACAAGGCCACUCUGAGUCUUGCCCUUUACCACUGGCCAAGGCCCCGAGAUCAGGCUUUUCCCAAUGCCCAGCUUCUGCUGUCCCUCUGCCCCCGACACACCUUCACUUCAGAUCCUGUAGCCUGUUCUACAAAGUUAUCUAGCCCCUGCCACAAAACCCUAUCCACCCCUCUAACUCUCCCUGGACACCUGCCCGAGUGCCAGGCCUGCAGCCUUCAGAGACCUUUUUGGGUAGCUGCAGCCUAUUAUCAGCACCUCUGGGUUUUCCCUGGCUGGGCAGGCAAACCCUAUGCCUAGCUGGGGACUAUGUGAAUAACGUCACUGCUCAAGGGAUAGAGAAGGAGGGAAGGAGAAAGAUGGGCCAGAGUGCACUUUGGGGCUCUGAGGCUGGGCUGGGCCCUGCCAUGCUGGCCGCCCAAGCAGUCGACACUGGCGCUACUGCACUACCAGCCAGCCCCACCCGCUCAUGCACCUCCCCCGGCCUGGGACGCAGAGGCCCCUGGGAGGUGGGGAUGGAGGUCUGUGGAUCUGAUCAGGGCUAAAGACUCCCAGUGAGUGGGGGAGGCCCCUGUCCCCUUAGCCCAUGCAUGAGCCCCUGUGAGAAGGAAGCACCCGCUGCCCAUCACCGGGUGCUUCCUGGGGGUGCCAAGAUCCCCAGACCCCAAAGUCCCCAGUGGGAUGCCUCUCAGGAUACACCUCACCCCAAAGCUCUCAGCUGCAACCCGAGUUCUCAGAUGGAGAAAUGGAAGCCCAGAGAGGGGAAGAGCUGGAGUGUUCAUGCUCAGCUCCAGAAACCUCCCUGGGCCCUAACCCUCCAGCCCAUGGCCUUAUCUUGUGCAGCCUCCCCACUCUGUCUCUGCCUAGAGCUGCAGCUGGAACUGUCCUGGAAAUUAGCAAUGAAGAGGAAAGGAAGCUGCCCCUCUGGGCAGGAGGGGCAUUGGCCCCAGCAAGCAGCUUACCUAGCCCGUGACCUCCGAUUGACACUGAGGUGAGAGGGCAGAGAGCAAGGAGAAAGGUCAGGUUUCUACCUAGCUCUGCUGUCAUCUGAGGCUCUUCUACCAACUGCAAACUGGGCCUUCAGGCUCCUUCCCUAAACUUCAAAGAGGUCACUACCUCCCUGACCUCCUGCUCCCAGGUGCGUAAACCUUUACUCACCUUUAGGCCCCUGUACUUUGACAUGAAGCGGGGCAACACCAGCCUUGCUUGUGUCCACCUGGAAGGACUGAGGGAGGUUGGCACGGACCAUGCCUGGGCUCAGACCUGGCCCAGAGCACUUGACCUUGGAUGCAUCUGUCACAUCAUGCACAGGAACCUUAAAGGGACUACCUGGGAUUCGGGCAGAGGGAUGGCAGCUUCAUAAGUCAGAAUAGGCAUAAUCAGGCAGUCCUAGCCCUGUCCCACUGUCACCUCCUCACCUGGAACUUGGUGGCCACCAUAGGUGACAUUGAGGCUGUAGGUGCCGGCCUCGUAGGGGAUGUACUCUACUGAACAACUGCCAUCUUUGUUAUCCAUGCAGGACAUCUUCGCCUCUGAGGGGCCCUCUACAGCCAGGCCCAGGCCACCUGUGCCAGCUCCCCUGGUCCAAGCAAAUAGCCUGUCAUUCCCUGGGGUUCCCAGGCCCAUUGGCUACCCACUUGCCUCCCUGGUAGCACAUUCACCUGGUCUCCACUGUGAACUUGUUGGGUUUGUUGGUGGUACCACUUUGGAUGCCCGGCCCGUGGACACGCACCCUGGAAGGGUCGCAGCCCUCGGUCACAGGUACCUGGAAGGGGCUGCUAGGCACAGGACUGCCAUCAUAGGUCACGUCAACAGAGUGGAGUCCUGGAGGGCAGGCCAGGUCAGGAGGAGCCCAGGCUGCCCCACCUGCCCUGCCUGCCCAAGAGAGCCCCAGCACAUACCCUCCUCGUACGGUGUAUAUUCUACUUUGUAUGUGCCAUCACCACAGUCUUGCACAUAGGUUUCAGUCAGGUUGCCAGAGGGGUUGGCUACACGGGCCUUGACAUGUGGCCCUCCAGUCUGUGUCAGAGCCCGGGCAUCCACGCUGAACUCAGUGGUAGCCUCUCGGAAGACUCCUGGAGAGGGACGCAAUGAAGCCAGGGUUACAGGGACCCUGCCCCCCCGCCCCCGAACUCCCCCAUGUACCCAAGAGCAGGCCUCUUUACCUUGGCCCUCAAUCCCAGGCCCAUAGCAUUGGACGCCUGAGGUGUCCACAGCAGGCUCCACCUGAAGCUUGCUGGGGAAGUUGGGCACAGGCUGGCCGCCGUACUUAAUGGUGACAGUGUAGGCCCCAGGGCAGAGAGGAAUGUAGGUGAUGGUGUGUGUGCCAUCACCGUGGUCCUGGAUGUACACUUCAGCCGGCAGUCCUGCCUCGGAGCAGAUCUCAAUGGUCAACUCUGCACUGCCUGCACUUGAGCAGUCCACUUGGAACUGGCCCACCUCUCCAGCAGUGGCCCGCUCCAGCCCAGGGCCUGAGCACUUGACCUUGGAUGCAUCAAAACAGGGAACCACGUGGGCCUUGAAUGGGGAGCCAGGGAUGUGGGUGUCGGCAAAAAGGAUGUUGAUGUUGUAGUCCCCAGGCUCGGUGGGCACGUAGGAUACAGAACAUGUGCCAUCCCCAUUGUCCAGGCACUCAAGCUGCGCCUCGCAGGGGCCUUCCACUGUUAGGCCGAGGCCACCUGUCCCGGCACCCUUGGUGUCGAUGGUGAAGCGGGCAGGGGAGCCUGCACUGCCUCCUUGCAGCCCUGGCCCAAAAGCCUUCACCUAAGGGAAGAGCAGAUUGGAAGCUGAGACUGCACUACCACCAGCAAACCUCCUUUUGCCCUGGUUUUCCUCCCCUACCAAACAGGAACAGGAACAGGUUGCCUACAGCUAUGCCACCAUUCUCCAUUAUAAGGGCAAGUCUGGAGAAGAUGGAGUGCCCCCCAAGGACCCUCAGAAAGCACAGUGGGCUCCACCCUUAGAGCCUCCCAAUCCCAAUUACCUUGCUAGGUUUGGUGGGGGCCAUGGCUUCCAGAGGAAAAGGGCUGCCAGGCACAGGUACACCAUCAUAGGUCACCUCUACCUCAUAGGGCCCCUCCUCACGGGGCACAAAGCGCACCACACUAUUGUCGGCCCCCAGGCCUGGCUCCACCUUGCAGGGCACCACUGCACCUGAGGGGCCCACGAUCUUGGAGGCCACUUUGCCUUGACCACCUGCACCCUUUGACUUGACUGUGAACUCCUGAUCUUUGCCAACAUCCACUUCUGUUGAGAUAAGAAAGGAGAGAAAAAGAGAACCAUGGCACCUAGCUUAGGUAGGCCCUGGGUGCUCUUCAGUGACUACAGAAAGUACUCAACUACUCACUCUCUCCUAGGCCAGACACCUUGAUCUUGCUGAGGUCCAGGCUUGGAGACACCCCAACUGAGAAAGGACUCUUGGGGAUGGGAUCCCCUCCAUAAGUGACAUUGACACCUACUGGGCCCUGAGAGGGGUACAGAAGGGCAACAAUCAUCAGUCAAUACCCUGGUCUCCUUGGCCUGCAAGUGCCCUGCUUGGGAAGAGGGCUUCAGACACUGGCUUUACUCCCCAGCUCCCUUCCCAGGUGAGAAAUCAGACUUGAUGGGAAGCCCCUUGGAGCAGCCCACCUAGCCCACCCCUUACAAGGAAGCCCACAGACUAGAUGACUGUAGUGGAGGGGUGUGGCUGCAGGGGGUCAAGAUGGCUACCUGCUGCACAGGAGUGUACUUGACUGUGUAGGUGUUGUCAUGGUGAUCAAUGAUGUCCAGAUCUCGCACCACAUCCCCUUUAGCCAGACCUGAGAACUGGACGUCCAGCUUGCCUUUGCCAGCAGCUUUGGCGUUGACGGUGAAAUGGGUGGGUUUGCCAAGCUCAAUGCCUAAGGAGACAAAACAACCAUAUACAGGGGCACCUUGCUCUGAGCACCCCCACCCUUGAUGUCUCAUAAUUUCCCAGAGUAUUCAUCUUUACCAGUGCGAUUGAGGCCAGGGCCCUCUGCCUUCACCUUGCUGGCAUCAUGGGAGGGCUCCACCUUAACCCGGAUGGGGCUGGUGGGUGUUGCCUGUAAGUGGUAGGGGAAGGGUUGAGAAGAGCAAUACCUCAACAACCAGAAAUCUAGGGGCCAGAAGCAGUAGACCAACCUGGUCAGCAAAAAGGACCAUGAUAGUAUAACUGCCAGCUCCACGGGGUGUGUACUUGACUGUGAAAGUAUCAUUGUCAUUGCGGAUGAUGUCAAAGUCGAUGUCAGCCUCAGCAGGGCCCACCACACCAGGAGCACACUUGAUGCCAAUGCUGACAUCACCUGUCGUGGUGGGAAUCAGCAGAAGCUGGGAUUUUGUGGGGAUAUUCCCCACUCCGGUCUUCCCACCCAGGGCCAGGCCUUACCCUGGCCAGCCUCUGUGCAGUCCACAGUGAAAUAGGUGGGCUCAUGUGCCUUGAGCCCUGUCUUGGCCACACCUGGGCCAUACACCUUGACCUUGUUUGGAUGGCUUCCAGCUCCCACAUUCACCUGUAGAGUACAGGGACAAGUGCAGGACAUGACCAGCCUGGGGAGGCAGAGGCUCCCUCAGCUACUGGUGUAAAAUAAGCAAAAUGGUGCAGCUGCCUUGGGGAAAGUCUGACAGUUCUUCAAAAGAUUAAACAGAGAUCAUAUGACACCACAGCUCUGCUCCUACAUAGCUACCCAAGAAAAACAAAAACCUAGAUCCACCAAACUCAUUUUACAUGAAUGUUCCUAGCAGUGCUAUAUACAAUAGCCCCAAAGUAAACACAUCCCAAAGGUCCAUCACAUAAAAAAGAUAGUCACAAUGUGGUCCAUCCAUACCAUGAAAUAUUUGAUCAUAAAAAGGAAUGAGGCAUGGGCUGGGUUGUGACUCAGUGGUAGAGUGCUUGCCUUGCAUGUGUGAGGCACUGGGUUCAAUACUCAGGACCACAUAAAAAUAAGUAAACAAAAUAAAGAUAUUGUGCCCAGGUAUAACUAAAAAAAGUAUUUUUUUAAAAAAGGAAUGAAGCACUGAUACAUGCUCAGUGUGGAUGAAACUUAACAGGAUAUGCAGUGCAGAAGCCAAACACAAAAAGUCACAUAGUAUAUGAUUCCAUUUAUAUGAAAGGCCCAGAAGCAGCAAAUUCAUACAGUGGGAGAGCAGGUUAGUGGUUGCCAGGACCUGGGGGAGGGGAGAGGUGGGAGGGUGAGUUUCAUUGGGCAUGAUGAAAAUUGUCCUAAACUUAGAUUGUGGUAAUGAUUGCACAACUCAGUGAAUGUACUAGUACUGAGCUGUCCAUUUUAAAUGAGCUCACCCGGAAGGGGCUAUUGGGGAUGCUGACACCUCCCCAGGACACCAUGGCUGUGUGCUUCACUGGCUUCCUUGGCACAUAAGAGCAGCUGUAAGUUCCAUUGCCGUUGUCUUUGACUGAUGCCUCUACAGGACAGCCCUCAUUAUCCUGCAAGAUUGGUAAAAGCAGGCAGCCUGCUGGUCAGUGCCCAGGCCUAGGUGCCUGCCUACCCUGCCCCCAACGCAAAGGGCAUCGCACCUGGACUUGGACCCGGAGAGGGGCCUUCCCGCCAUGUUUAGCAUCUACUGUGAAUUCUGCUGGUUUGUUGACAGCUACACCAGUCUUCUCCAAGCCAGGCCCACGUGCCUUCACCUGGUAAGAGAACACCCAAGUUUCAGGGGACCAAGUCAAGGCCACCAAACCACAAGCCAGGCGUGGCAGCUGGGGAUAGAGUGCCAGGAGCAUGGUGCUGGAUAUACCAGUUUAGGGCCUGGGCUCAGGACCCCAUCCUGGUUGACAAAACAGGGAUGUGCCCACCCCCAGUGGGCUUCCUAAGCAAAGGCAGGAGAGACUCAGGCUAGUGCUGCACGCCCUUUACCCUGUCUGGGUGAAAGUCCUGGGGUGCAUCACGGAUGUCAGCCAUGAAUGGACUGAGGCGGAUGUCCUCGCUGUUACACAGCACAUGCACAGCAUACUCGCCAGCCUCUUGGGGCCAGUAGCGCACGUCACAGGAGCCAUCGCCUUUGUCAUCACAUUCAAUCUUGGCCUGUGAUGGACCUUCCACGGAGAAACCUGACAACAACCAUCAGUCCCAUUGAUGCCCUGGAGACUCAGGGCAUCCUCCACCCACAGGGGCCCACACUGAAGCCUCCAACUUACCCAGGGUGCCCACGUCGUCCCCAAUUGCCUCUACCACGAAGUCUGCUGACUUGCCAACGACACCGCCCUCCAGCCCAGGACCCCAGGCCCGCACCUUCUGAUUGCCACAUUCAGUGCCCACCUUCACCUCAAAGGGACUGCAAAUGGAAGAGCCACUUAGGGGAGAACUGAGAGGCACCAUCCUACAGAAGAGCCAUCCCGUGCCCAGCAACGUGGGCUAGGCGAGAAGACCAGUUUGGUUCCCCAUUGUCAGACAGACAGAAGACUUAGACAAUGCUGGUUGGUGGGGAAGAGUGCCUGGGAGCCUCACCUGCGCCCAAUGUUCUGGCCACCCCAUGUGAUGGUGACAGUGUAGGUGCCAGGGGCUGUGGGGUAAUACUCAAAGCCAUAAACGCCAUCCCCUAGGUC